CCUAUAAUUAUAGCGCCCGAACUAAGCGCCCGGAAAAAGGCUUAGUUGACGAGGAUGGAGGUUAUCGAAUUUUCGGCGGAUGCCUCCCGGCUGAGUGUGCAGAUCACAGCCGUAAGGAUUUCUUCAAACCAAGGGGGUGACUCCUUGAACAAAGAGAAAUCACAUGAUCUU
Regulatory RNA element from Bacillus subtilis subsp. subtilis str. 168, 171 nucleotides. It matches the Rfam family "glmS glucosamine-6-phosphate activated ribozyme aptamer". Rfam says of the family: This entry contains a glucosamine-6-phosphate activated ribozyme that is found in the mRNA for GlmS. The record is from Rfam. Lineage: Bacteria; Bacillati; Bacillota; Bacilli; Caryophanales; Bacillaceae.